CCUCGCGUGCGACCGCGAGUAGCCUAGAGUGGCAUGCAGGGACAGUAAUGACCCUGUGUGAAGCCCACUCAACAAUGAACCCCUACUUCGGUAGCAGCUACGCCCGCGAGGGUGCAGCUGGAAGCUGCCAGCAGAAAGGCGGCCGAGGGG
Acidovorax delafieldii 2AN is the source of this 150-nucleotide non-coding RNA. The record is from Rfam. Lineage: Bacteria; Pseudomonadati; Pseudomonadota; Betaproteobacteria; Burkholderiales; Comamonadaceae.